Molecule: ribosomal RNA, 610 nt
Filed under: uncultured fungus
Lineage: Eukaryota; Fungi
Description: eukaryotic LSU rRNA
Rfam family: 5.8S ribosomal RNA (bases 236-389)
Source: RNAcentral
UUGGUCAUUUAGAGGAAGUAAAAGUCGUAACAGGGUUUCCGUAGGUGAACCUGCGGAAGGAUCAUUACCGAGUAUCGGGUCUCAGUGCCCGCACUCCAACCCUCUGUGUACCAACUUUGUUGCUUUGGCGGGCCCGCGGUGUAACGCCGCCACCGGCUCACGCUGGUUAGUGCCCGCCAGAGGACCGUUAAACUCCUGUUUAGACAGUGUAGUCUGAGUAAAAUUUAAUAGUUAAAACUUUCAACAACGGAUCUCUUGGUUCUGGCAUCGAUGAAGAACGCAGCGAAAUGCGAUAAGUAAUGUGAAUUGCAGAAUUCAGUGAAUCAUCGAAUCUUUGAACGCACAUUGCGCCCCCUGGUAUUCCGGGGGGCAUGCCUGUUCGAGCGUCAUUUCAACCCUCAAGCUCUGCUUGGUAUUGGGCGUCGCCGGGAAGUCUCCCCGGCGUGCCUUAAAGCUAUCGGCGGUGGUGCCUUUCUCUAAGCGUGGUAGAAUUUUUAUUCGCUUCUGAGUUGGGCUUCACCUGCCAGAUAAACCGGGCCUCGCAGCCCACUUUCUCAGGUUGACCUCGGAUCAGGUAGGGAUACCCGCUGAACUUAAGCAUAUCAAUAAG